Molecule: ribosomal RNA, 253 nt
Filed under: uncultured bacterium
Lineage: Bacteria
Description: partial 16S ribosomal RNA
Rfam family: Bacterial small subunit ribosomal RNA
Source: RNAcentral
UACGUAGGAGGCGAGCGUUGUCCGGAAUUACUGGGUGUAAAGCGCGUGUAGGCGGCUCGGUAAGUCUGCUCUGAAAGCCCGGGGCUCAACCCUGGGAGGCGGGUGGAUACUGCUGAGCUCGAGUCCGGAAGAGGCGAGUGGAAUUCCUGGUGUAGCGGUGAAAUGCGCAGAUAUCAGGAGGAACACCAAUGGCGAAGGCAGCUCGCUGGGACGGUACUGACACUGAGGAGCGAAAGCGUGGGGAGCGAACAGG